RNAcentral lists this long non-coding RNA (1932 nucleotides) under Citrus maxima (pomelo). RNAcentral describes it as "long non-coding RNA (CMAX_LNC000052)". Lineage: Eukaryota; Viridiplantae; Streptophyta; Magnoliopsida; Sapindales; Rutaceae. The record is from RNAcentral.
UCGGAUACAUCAUUGGACUCCAAAUUUCUCCCACAAACCUACAGAAAAUUUGAUGUAUGGAAGCAACUUUAAAAAUGUAUUUUGAAAAUGAAUUGCUCAAAUAUUUUACACGACGGUCAGAAAAUCUCCACCUCAAGCUCAUUUUCCAUUUUUAUUCUUAUUUUAUUUCAAAAAAAUAAAGAAAGAAAUAAAAUGAGGGGGCAAUGAGACUCUUCUUUAUUUCUAAGUUUUUAAUUAGUGAUGCCACGGGCUAUUAGAUUACAUUGUGAAGGGGAAACUUGGAUUCAUCAAACGCCAAUGAUGUAAUAGUGAAGUAACAAUUGAGUGGAACAAAGAUGUCCCAACUAAAGGUUAAAAAUACAUAACAAGGCAGCAGUGCAAAUUUACCAAGGGAGCUGAUGAAGGGGUAUCUGUAUUCAAGAUUAUAGAGUGAUUACAAAUUAUUAAAGUGAGGACAGCAGCAAUUAGCAGUUACCAUAGCUUUUUGCAUCAAUUGGCUCUUCCCAUACAAGGUAGGGCCUUUGGGUUAUCUAAAAGAUCUCUUUGUAAUCAGCGCUAGAUUUCAACCUCUAUUAUGAGUGGUCAAUCCGGUACUGCAAUGAUUUGUUAACAUGUUAACAUCAUGACAAAUAGUCAUUCGCCCUUCGAUGUUUCCAAACUAAAUUGCUGUUAAUAAUAAUUAAUAAAACGCAAACCCAACCCACCAAAUUUUAUUGCCUUGGAAGGAAUUGCAAGUUAGAUUUAUGUCAAUGUAUGAAAGCAAAAUCUAAACCUUUCAUUGUCUCAAUAUAGUCUUGAUCCCAUUUCUCAUUUUUGACAAACAAACACAAUUGUACUUCACAUGGAAAGGUAAGAUUUAAAAGUGAGAAGCAACGUGGAAGCAACGGUCUUUCGGUUUAUGUACUAGAUGACCCGAUUUCUGUUGUUAGAAAGCAAACAAAAACCAGCAGCUACAAAGUUUCCAAGUCUUACGUACCUGAAAGAGGGUGUUUGAGUUAGGAAAGUUAAUUUGCGAGUUUCAGUUUCUGGAUUUGUCCUUAUGCACUGAAACUGAGUCAUUUAUUGAAGAUGGCAAUGCUGCUGGUAAUGGUGGUGGAUGGUUUGAGUUUGUUUGUUAGCACAGUUUGGAGUCUGCAGGAGCGGCGGUUCUCUUCGACGUUUGAAGCUGUGAGCUCUGCUGCAGUCUCACUGACCAUGGCGCUUGUGGUCUGCUUCUUGUCCACACAAAGUCACAGUAGAGGAGAUAUGUUUCUUCCCUUCAUUUGAUCUUCGUUCUAAUUCAAUGCGUCUCUCUUGUAUUUAUAUUCGGCAUUUUGUUUAUUUGGUUUUAGUUCAGCAGCGGUCGUUGGGUCAGUAAAAUUAAUUUAUUGUCAUUCUGUACGUGUGGUACAGUAAAUGGUAAUUCAGCUAUCUCCUGACUCUGUUCUUUAUGAAGACAUACAAUUAGAUGGUGCUGUGAGAUGAAAGAAAACUGGGAAUGCCUAUUAGGGAGAGUUUCCGAUGUCAUAGAUUUGGAUGGUACACUUCUUUUGAGUUACCAACUGCCCCGAUAAUAAUUAAUAAAUAAUUCAUGAGAGACGCCAUUUCUAAAGAUCGUAGAUUUUAGAGUGAGAUGGCUUGUUAUUCAAACUUUAUAGGUAAGUGACAUGUGCACCUUGCGAGAAAUGAACCGUAGGCAACUGUAACCAGAUAAGCAAUUGAAAAUGAGUGAUGUUAAACUUUCAUUGCUAUGAUCAAAUAUCUACAUUUCCUCCAUCGAACUUCACAAGCAAUCCUAUAUAUUUCUUUCUGCAGAUUAAAGCUAUCCUCAUCUCCUUUAAUUCCAACCUCUUUACCGCUUCUUUCAUCUGUUUUAGCUACGAAAACCUGACCGCUAUGCUUGCUUACCAAUGUAUAUUCUCAAGUGCGGGUGCCGUGUUUUUUUUUUUUAAG